RNAcentral lists this ribosomal RNA (520 nucleotides) under uncultured bacterium. Its description in RNAcentral is "bacterial SSU rRNA". It matches the Rfam family "Bacterial small subunit ribosomal RNA", at positions 31 to 541 of the family's 1533-position model. The record is from RNAcentral.
GAACGCUGGCGGCGGCCUAACACAUGCAAGUCGAGCGGAAACGAAGAGGUGCUUGCACCUCUGGCGUCGAGCGGCGGACGGGUGAGUAAUGCUUGGGAAUAUGCCUUAUGGUGGGGGACAACAGUUGGAAACGACUGCUAAUACCGCAUGAUGUCUACGGACCAAAGUGGGGGACCUUCGGGCCUCACGCCAUAAGAUUAGCCCAAGUGGGAUUAGCUAGUUGGUGAGGUAAUGGCUCACCAAGGCGACGAUCCCUAGCUGGUUCGAGAGGAUGAUCAGCCACACUGGGACUGAGACACGGCCCAGACUCCUACGGGAGGCAGCAGUGGGGAAUAUUGCACAAUGGGCGCAAGCCUGAUGCAGCCAUGCCGUGUGUGUGAAGAAGGCCUUCGGGUUGUAAAGCACUUUCAGUAAGGAGGAAAGGUUAAGAGUUAAUAGCACUUAGCUGUGACGUUACUUACAGAAGAAGCACCGGCUAACUCCGUGCCAGCAGCCGCGGUAAUACGGAGGGUGCGAGCGU